CGCGAGCGUGAGGUCCGCGAUGUCGUGAGGUCUGUGAUCGAUUCCGAUUUCGAGGAAUCGCGAUUUCGCAAGGUCCCGCGAUAUAGUCGAAAUCGCGGACAUUCGAUUCGCAGCAAGCCGGUGAGGAGUGUCGUUAUGUUUCAUCGCGAUGUUGGGUUCUGUUUCAUCGCGGUUAUGUUUUAUCACGAUGGGUUCCAUAACUCGCAAUGUGUUCUGUUUCACCGCAGAACCACCGGAUGGGUUCACGAUGGAUUCCGUCCUCGCAAUGGGUUCCUACAUCGCAGAUGGGUUCCUCGCACGGUUUGAUCUGGUGUCCGCAUGGUGAUCACCGUGCGGACGUGCCGUUCCAGAUGUUUUUCCAGCAUAAAUCAGGAACGACACUUACCGUUCCUUGAGUCAGUGCGGUACCUACCUCCUCCACCUUCCGAUUUCGUAUCCACGGCUAUAUCCUCCUCCAGCCACCGUUCCAACACCAGUAAGUGUUCCAACAUCGAGCGAACUGCAAUCUCCGCAGUUUUGACACUCCGUUCCGGUACCCAUCGUGAUCGAACAGUUCCGGUACAACAUCGAGCGAACUGUAAGUGUUCCGGUACCUCACCGGUCACCGAACAGUUCUGUCACGGAACCCAUCGCGGUUCCUCCAAGUACCUCUUCUGUAUCCGAACCUCCGCGAGCGUGAGGUCCGCGAUGUCGUGAGGUCUGUGAUCGAUUCCGAUUUCGAGGAAUCGCGAUUUCGCAAGGUCCCGCGAUAUAGUCGAAAUCGCGGACAUUCGAUUCGCAGCAAGCCGGUGAGGAGUGUCGUUAUGUUUCAUCGCGAUGUUGGGUUCUGUUUCAUCGCGGUUAUGUUUUAUCACGAUGGGUUCCAUAACUCGCAAUGUGUUCUGUUUCACCGCAGAACCACC
Molecule: long non-coding RNA, 902 nt
Filed under: Zostera marina
Lineage: Eukaryota; Viridiplantae; Streptophyta; Magnoliopsida; Alismatales; Zosteraceae
Description: long non-coding RNA (ZMAR_LNC000990)
Source: RNAcentral